RNAcentral lists this ribosomal RNA (448 nucleotides) under uncultured bacterium. Its description in RNAcentral is "SSU rRNA". It matches the Rfam family "Bacterial small subunit ribosomal RNA", at positions 26 to 518 of the family's 1533-position model. The record is from RNAcentral.
AGAACGAACGCUGGCGGCAGGCCUCAAACAUGCAAGUCUAGGGGGUGUAGCAAUACAUCACCGGCGGACGGGUGCGUAACGCGUGGGAAUAUACCUAUUGGUUCGGAACAACUGAGGGAAACUUCAGCUAAUACCGAAUAAGUCCUUACGGAGAAAGAUUUAUCGCCAAUAGAUUAGCCCGCGUUCGAUUAGCUAGUUGGUGGGGUAACGGCCCACCAAGGCGACGAUCGAUAGCUGUUCUGAGAGGAAGAUCAGCCACACUGGGACUGAGACACGGCCCAGACUCCUACGGGAGGCAGCAGUUGGGAAUCUUGGACAAUGGGGGAAACCCUGAUCCAGCCAUGCCGCGUGAGUGAUGAAGGCCUUCGGGUUGUAAAACUCUUUCGCGCACGACGAUAAUGACGGUAGUGCGAGAAGAAGCUCCGGCUAACUUCGCGCCAGCAGCCGC